RNAcentral lists this long non-coding RNA (482 nucleotides) under Phoenix dactylifera (date palm). Its description in RNAcentral is "long non-coding RNA (PDAC_LNC015632)". Lineage: Eukaryota; Viridiplantae; Streptophyta; Magnoliopsida; Arecales; Arecaceae. The record is from RNAcentral.
UUUUUGACCUCCUCAAAGGAUAAAUAUCUAUUUCUGAAUUUUACGCAGCAUGUAGUAUGUAUGGACUUUGAAAAACUGACGUACCGAUCACUAUAAUUGAUGCAGAGAAGGACGGACCCGGCGCGAGUUUUCCCUGUGAAACAAGAAGUCGCAUGAAAGGUCAUUUACACCCUUCGUGCGGAGCUCCAGGCAAUGCGUAUCCCCGGAAUCGCCCCCCACCUGUUCGCCAGAAUGCUAUUUCUUAUAGUGCUUUGAGAUCCAGAACCAGAAGUUCUGCUGCUCCUGGAUCUGCGUAUUGCAAAGGAUGCCCGUACGGCCGUCGGGGAGGGGCAUCCUAGAAUUUAAUCUCGGAGAACAUGCAAGAUCUGUCUUCCGUAUCUUUCGUACAGCCGUCGGAGAGGGUAUCCUAGAAUCUAAUCCGGGAGAACAGGCAAGCUCUGUCUUUCUCGUGUGUAUUCUUGCGCUUAUAUAUAUAUAUAUAU